CGCGACAUAAGCGAUAAUGGUUUUGUGAAAUCUUCUAGGAUGUUAAUUGGUAAAAGGAUUGGAGUUGGUUUAAUAUAUUUCUCGAAAUAG
Molecule: ribosomal RNA, 90 nt
Filed under: Triticum aestivum (bread wheat)
Lineage: Eukaryota; Viridiplantae; Streptophyta; Magnoliopsida; Poales; Poaceae
Description: partial small subunit ribosomal RNA
Source: RNAcentral